This 421-nucleotide ribosomal RNA is filed under the name uncultured bacterium. Its description in RNAcentral is "partial 16S ribosomal RNA". It matches the Rfam family "Bacterial small subunit ribosomal RNA", at positions 360 to 773 of the family's 1533-position model. The record is from RNAcentral.
AAUAUUGGACAAUGGGGGCAACCCUGAUCCAGCCAUGCCGCGUGUGUGAAGAAGGUCUUCGGUUUGUAAAGCACUUUAAGUUGGGAGGAAGGGCUUUAGUCUAAUACCCCCAUGUUUUGACGUUACCAACAGAAUAAGCACCGGCUAACUCUGUGCCAGCAGCCUCGGUACUACAGAGGGUGCAAGCUUUAAUCGGAAUUACUGGGCGUAAAGCGCGCGUAGGUGGUUCAGUAAGAUGGGUGUGAAAUCACCGGGCUUAACCUGGGAACUGCUUUCAUAACUGCUGAGCUAGAGUACGGUAGAGGGUAGUGGAAUUUCCUGUGUAGCGGUGAAAUGCGUAGAUAUAGGAAGGAACGCCAGUGGCGAAGGCGACUACCUGGACUGAUACUGACACUGAGGUGCGAAAGCGUGGGGAGCAAAC